This 1270-nucleotide ribosomal RNA is filed under the name Cutibacterium acnes HL001PA1. RNAcentral describes it as "bacterial LSU rRNA". It matches the Rfam family "Bacterial large subunit ribosomal RNA", at positions 1491 to 2739 of the family's 2925-position model. Lineage: Bacteria; Bacillati; Actinomycetota; Actinomycetes; Propionibacteriales; Propionibacteriaceae. The record is from RNAcentral.
CCCGGUGAUGGUUGUCCGGGGCUAAGUGUGUGGACUGUCUGGUAGGUAAAUCCGCUGGGCGUGAAGGUUGAGGCAUGAUGGGGAGCCCACGGUUGUGGGUGAGUGAGUGAUCCUGUACUGUCGAGAAAAGCUUCGUGAGCGAGGUGGCGGGUCCGCCCGUACCCUAAACCGACACUGGUGGAUAGGUAGAGUAUACCGAGGCGAUCGAGUGAAUCGUGGUGAAGGAACUCGGCAAAAUGCCCCCGUAACUUUGGGAUAAGGGGGACCUGAGCUGUCGUGCACCCGUGCGGUGUGGUGGCGGUGAGGGGCGCAGAGUCCAGGGGGAAACGACUGUUUACCAAAAACACAGGUCCGUGCGAAGUCGUAAGACGAUGUAUACGGACUGACUCCUGCCCGGUGCUGGAAGGUUAAGGGGAACUGUGAGUGUGAUGCGUAGCGGUGAACUUAAGCCCCAGUAAACGGCGGUGGUAACUAUAACCAUCCUAAGGUAGCGAAAUUCCUUGUCGGGUAAGUUCCGACCUGCACGAAUGGAGUAACGAUUUCCCUACUGUCUCCACCAUGAACUCGGUGAAAUUGCAUUACGAGUAAAGAUGCUCGUUACGCGCAGCAGGACGGAAAGACCCCGGGACCUUUACUAUAGUUUGGUAUUGGUGAUUGGGACGGUUUGUGUAGGAUAGGUGGGAGACGUUGAUGCGGCCACGCUAGUGGUGGUGGAGUCGUUGGUGAAAUACCACUCUGAUUGUUCUGGUUAUCUCACUGUGGACCGUGAUCCGGUUCAAGGACAGUGCCUGAUGGGUAGUUUGACUGGGGCGGUCGCCUCCUAAAGGGUAACGGAGGCGCCCAAAGGUUCCCUCAUCCUGGUUGGUAAUCAGGUGGUGAGUGUAAGUGCACAAGGGGGCUUGACUGUGAGACUGACAGGUCGAGCAGGGACGAAAGUCGGGACUAGUGAUCUGACGGUGGCUUGUGGAUGCGCCGUCACUCAACGGAUAAAAGGUACCCCGGGGAUAACAGGCUGAUCUUGCCCGAGCGCUCAUAGCGACGGCAUGGUUUGGCACCUCGAUGUCGGCUCGUCGCAUCCUGGGGCUGGAGUCGGUCCCAAGGGUUGGGCUGUUCGCCCAUUAAAGCGGCACGCGAGCUGGGUUCAGAACGUCGUGAGACAGUUCGGUCCCUAUCCGCUGCGCGCGGAGGAAUCUUGAGAAGGGCUGUCUUUAGUACGAGAGGACCGAGACGGACUGACCUCUGGUGUGCCAGUUGUUCUGCCAAGAGCAUG